UACGUAGGGGGCUAGCGUUGUCCGGAAUCAUUGGGCGUAAAGCGCGUGUAGGCGGUUCGGUAAGUCCGCUGUGAAAGUCGAGGGCUCAACCCUCGAACGCCGGUGGAUACUGUCGGGCUAGAGUGCGGAAGAGGCGAGUGGAAUUCCUGGUGUAGCGGUGAAAUGCGCAGAUAUCAGGAGGAACACCAAUUGCGAAGGCAGCUCGCUGGGACGUUACUGACGCUGAGACGCGAAAGCGUGGGGAGCAAACAGG
Molecule: ribosomal RNA, 253 nt
Filed under: uncultured bacterium
Lineage: Bacteria
Description: partial 16S ribosomal RNA
Rfam family: Bacterial small subunit ribosomal RNA
Source: RNAcentral